This 592-nucleotide long non-coding RNA is filed under the name Lupinus angustifolius (narrow-leaved blue lupine). Its description in RNAcentral is "long non-coding RNA (LANG_LNC003114)". Lineage: Eukaryota; Viridiplantae; Streptophyta; Magnoliopsida; Fabales; Fabaceae. The record is from RNAcentral.
UUAUAUUACUUUUGUUUGAAUAUGAUUAACACAUGAAUGAUUAGGAUUUGGUGACAGUAGUGUAUACCUAUUAAAUUCGUACAUAAAGGAGUUGGUAAAGGAAAUCUCGAUAAAAAUCGGUGACAAAUAAAAAAAAGAAAUAAUUUUCAUUGUAGGGGUUUAAGGAAAAAGGGUGGAUUCUAUUGUUUUUGUCGAAGACAAACAAGUAAGGUUUUUGAGUUUCAGUAUUGCAAUGGUUUCUCUGACAACAUGGGUUCGAUACGUUGCACACAAGCUUCAAUAUUCCGCUUCUAUAAGCUGGAAGGUUCUUCCCCUUUCUCACUCUCCAUUUUAUUAUUACUCUAUUCAUUUCAUUUCAUCUGAUUCUGUAUUUUUCUCUAUUAAUUCAUUUCAUUUCCCACUUAUAUUAUCCAAUACGUGUUUUUAUGUUCAAUUAUAAAAAAAGCGAGGUUUUUAAAUUGCGGUUGCGGUGUACAAUUGUGGUCGUGAUAUAGUUUGGGCGACUCUCAAAGCCUUAACAUAUUCGGGUAUUUGGUGGUUGCGGACCCGGAUUUGAAAUCUUGAAAAAAUUGUACUUGGGUUUGAGUUUUGG